GAUGAACGCUGACAGAAUGCUUAACACAUGCAAGUCUACUUGAACUUCGGUUUGGGUGGCGGACGGGUGAGUAACGCGUAAAGAACUUGCCUCACAGAUAGGGACAACAUUUGGAAACGAAUGCUAAUACCUGAUAUUAUGAUUUUAGGGCAUCCUAGAAUUAUGAAAGCUAUAUGCACUGUGAGAGAGCUUUGCGUCCCAUUAGCUAGUUGGAGAGGUAACGGCUCACCAAGGCGAUGAUGGGUAGCCGGCCUGAGAGGGUGAUCGGCCACAAGGGGACUGAGACACGGCCCUUACUCCUACGGGAAGCAGCAGUGGGGAAUAUUGGACAAUGGACCAAGAGUCUGAUCCAGCAAUUCUGUGUGCACGAUGAAGUUUUUCGGAAUGUAAAGUGCUUUCAGUUGGGAAGAAAAAAAUGACGGUACCAACAGAAGAAGUGACGGCUAAAUACGUG
RNAcentral lists this ribosomal RNA (454 nucleotides) under uncultured bacterium. RNAcentral describes it as "partial 16S ribosomal RNA". It matches the Rfam family "Bacterial small subunit ribosomal RNA", at positions 28 to 507 of the family's 1533-position model. The record is from RNAcentral.